This is a non-coding RNA of Oryza barthii, 81 nucleotides long. NCBI's taxonomy places the organism in Eukaryota, Viridiplantae, Streptophyta, Magnoliopsida, Poales, Poaceae. The record is from Rfam.
AGCUCUGUGAUUUCAACCAAUCAUAUUGGUUUUAUACGCUAUUCUGAUUGGAGCUGUUGAAAAAUAAGACUUAUGAGAGCU